AAGCUCGUAGUUGAAUUUCGGGAUCAGACUGUCGGUCGUGCCUCGGUACGCACUGGCAUUAUUGGUUCCUACCUUCUGAAGAACCGCGAUGUCAUUAAUUGGUGUCGCGGGGAAUCAGGACUAGUUACUUUGAAAAAAUUAGAGUGUUUAAAGCAGGCUUACGCUUGAAUACAUUAGCAUGGAAUAAUGAAAUAGGACGUUUGAUUUCUAUUUUGUUGGUUUCUAGGAUCGACGUAAUGAUUAAUAGGGAUAGUUGGG
Molecule: ribosomal RNA, 258 nt
Filed under: uncultured Glomus
Lineage: Eukaryota; Fungi; Glomeromycota; Glomeromycetes; Glomerales; Glomeraceae
Description: partial 18S ribosomal RNA
Rfam family: Eukaryotic small subunit ribosomal RNA
Source: RNAcentral